AGGAGUACUCCCUCUUACCAGUCAUAGGACAGUGCUCCACCUUUCUAACAGAGGAAUGUGAAGGCAUAUGUAGCCUGUGCUAGCUAGAGAUGCUCACCCAGCUAUGCUGUUGGGUUAGGUAGAGAUGCUCACCCAGCUAUGCUGUUGGGUUAGGUAGAGAUGCUCACCCAGCUGUGCUAUUGGGUUAGGUAGAGAUGCUCACCCAGCUAUGCUGUUGGGUUCGGUAGAGAUGCUCACCCAGCUGUGCUGUUGGGUUAGGUAGAGAUGUUCACCCAGCUGUGCUAUUGGGUUAGGUAGAGAUGUUCACCCAGCUGUGCUGUUGGGUUAGGUAGAGAUGCUCACCCAGCUGUGCUGUUGGGUUAGGUAGAGAUGCUCACCCAGCUGUGCUGUUGGGUUAGGUAGAGAUGCUCACCCAGCUGUGCUGUUGGGUUAGGUAGAGAUGCUCACCCAGCUGUGCUGUUGGGUUAGGUAGAGAUGCUCAC
This is a long non-coding RNA of Apodemus sylvaticus (European woodmouse), 482 nucleotides long. RefSeq lists it as uncharacterized. NCBI's taxonomy places the organism in Eukaryota, Metazoa, Chordata, Mammalia, Rodentia, Muridae. The record is from RefSeq and is a predicted model, not a curated record. The transcript has 2 exons.